AAGACCUUACGCUUUUGGAGCGGCCGAUGUCUGAUUAGCUUGUUGGUGAGGUAAAGGCUUACCAAGGCUUCGAUCAGUAGCUGGUCUGAGAGGACGACCAGCCACACUGGGACUGAGACACGGCCCAGACUCCUACGGGAGGCAGCAGUGGGGAAUUUUGGACAAUGGAGGAAACCCUGAUCCAGCCAUGCCGCGUGAGUGAAGAAGGCCUUCGGGUUGUAAAGCUCUUUCAGCCGGAACGAAACGGUUACGAUUAAUACCUGUAACUACUGACGGUACCGGAAGAAGAAGCACCGGCUAACUACGUGCCAGCAGCCGCGGUAAUACGUAGGGUGCGAGCGUUAAUCGGAAUUACUGGGCGUAAAGCGUGCGCAGGUGGUUUUGUAAGUCAGAUGUGAAAUCCCCGGGCUUAACCUGGGAACU
This 423-nucleotide ribosomal RNA is filed under the name uncultured bacterium. Its description in RNAcentral is "bacterial SSU rRNA". It matches the Rfam family "Bacterial small subunit ribosomal RNA", at positions 207 to 622 of the family's 1533-position model. The record is from RNAcentral.